Molecule: long non-coding RNA, 143 nt
Organism: Sapajus apella (tufted capuchin)
Lineage: Eukaryota; Metazoa; Chordata; Mammalia; Primates; Cebidae
Exons: 2
Source: RefSeq, a predicted model, not a curated record
AAAAAAGAUAACCAGCAUCUAACUCUUACUAGUUUUUUUACCUGCCCACCAGUCAUUUUUUCAAUAGUUCCCUACCUAAAGGUAAACCAACUUAUAACUUUUAUACUGCAAUAUAUACAAUCUAUUCCACAGCUUCUACAAUU